RNAcentral lists this transfer RNA (69 nucleotides) under Histeroidea sp. 1 KM-2017. Its description in RNAcentral is "tRNA-Met". Lineage: Eukaryota; Metazoa; Arthropoda; Insecta; Coleoptera. The record is from RNAcentral.
AAAAAGAUAAGCUAAAAAAGCUAAUAGGUUCAUACCCUAUUUAUAAAGGUAAUACCCCUUUUCUUUUUA